UACAACUACAAUUAUACACAAACCCUGUAUACAUUCACCACAUCACAAGGUUACAAUUUCCAUUCAUACAUUCACAUCUAUCAUUUGAAAACGUUUCUCACCCGAAAACUCAUUUGAAAUACUAAAGUAUUGAAAAUUAUAGAAACCGUUUGAAAACUGCUUCCCACACGAAAACCAUUUUCAUAAGUCCACAUUAAAACCACAAAAUU
This 209-nucleotide long non-coding RNA is filed under the name Ananas comosus (pineapple). RNAcentral's name for it is "long non-coding RNA (ACOM_LNC042424)". The record is from RNAcentral. Lineage: Eukaryota; Viridiplantae; Streptophyta; Magnoliopsida; Poales; Bromeliaceae.